This 64-nucleotide transfer RNA is filed under the name Coladenia maeniata. RNAcentral describes it as "tRNA-Cys". The record is from RNAcentral. Lineage: Eukaryota; Metazoa; Arthropoda; Insecta; Lepidoptera; Hesperiidae.
AGUCUUAUAUUCAAAAAUGAUUUAAAAUUGCAAAUUUUAAGGGGUAAUAAAUUUACUAAGGCUU